CGCUUUGUGCAGUGUCAGUAUUGUAGCCAAUGAGGUGUGUCCGAGGUGCAAUUAUUGCUAAUUGGAAGGUACCCCUG
RNAcentral lists this small nuclear RNA (77 nucleotides) under Heterocephalus glaber (naked mole-rat). RNAcentral describes it as "U4 spliceosomal RNA". It matches the Rfam family "U4 spliceosomal RNA", at positions 1 to 77 of the family's 138-position model. Rfam says of the family: U4 small nuclear RNA (U4 snRNA) is a component of the major U2-dependent spliceosome. The structure of U4 snRNA from yeast and human has been reported. Lineage: Eukaryota; Metazoa; Chordata; Mammalia; Rodentia; Bathyergidae. The record is from Rfam by way of RNAcentral.